RNAcentral lists this long non-coding RNA (1891 nucleotides) under Cucumis sativus (cucumber). RNAcentral describes it as "long non-coding RNA (CSAT_LNC000551)". The record is from RNAcentral. Lineage: Eukaryota; Viridiplantae; Streptophyta; Magnoliopsida; Cucurbitales; Cucurbitaceae.
UCACUUCAAAGAAAAUUGAAUAUAUUUUUCCAGGAAAGUCGUCUUCAAACAUUAUCAUAUAGUUGAUUAAGUAUGGAAAAUAUUUUCUAUUGGGACCAUAUACAACAUGACCGUCGCUAUAAAUAAUACACAAGUUGUAUAUAUUCUUGGACAAAUUAAUUUCAUCAAGUGAAGAAAAUGGGAAGGCCAAUUGCUGCUACUAUUGGAGAUGUUACCACGUCCAUCCCGGGGGGCUUAAGUUUGCUUUCUCUCAUUCUUCUAUCCAUCUCUCUCCUAUCAAUGAUAAUAUUUGCUUGUAGCAACUUCUUUAAUACUCGAAGGAGAAGAGGUGGCGAUGAUGGUGGUGCAGGUGGUUGUGCUUGUGGUGGAGGAGGCUGCGGUGGUGGAGGUUGCGGUGGUGGAGAUUGACGUUGUUUGUUGUUAUUUUAUGAGUUGAUUGAUGCUAUUUUUAUAGAUGUGUGAUUUUUGUAGUUCAACUCAAACAUUUGUAAAUAGAGGUGAAUUCAAAUUUUUAUCUCUCCAUGGAUAUAUGCUAGUAAAACUAUAUGCAGAUUGACCUUUUUUAGGUGUGUGAGUAUACUAUUUUAGCAUUUAUUUACUAUAUAUACAUGAUAGAUGGAAAGGACAGCAUGCUUUAAAUACUAUACAACUAUUCAUAAUUUUUUGACUUGUGACUUUAACUAGGCAAUAAAGACAUGAUUAUAUGUUAAAGGAUGCUAAUUAUGCCUACGCGUUGCUACUUCUAAUGAUAGUCUGCAUUGAGUACAAGUUUUUCUCUCAUUUGUUCAAUUAUAAGUGAAGCGAGAGGUUUCUUGGGUAAUAAAGACAUGACUAUAUGUUAAAAGAUGCUAACUAUGCUUACGCGUUGCUACUUCUAAUGAUAGUUUGCAUUGAAUACAAGUUUUCCUCUCGUUUGUCCAAUUGUAAGUGAAGCAAGAGGUUUCCUGGAUAAACCAAGGACAAACACAAGGAAUUUCUUAUCAAACCUAGUUAAUAGCUUAGUCAAUUUCAUGCAGUUUAUUUUUUACAAUAUUUUAUAUUCACAGUAUCGUGAAAGUAAAGUCUAUUAUGUACACUAAGUGAUUAAGUAGAAGGGGGAAUGGAAUGGAAGAACAUGAAAUGUGAACUAACUUGCUAAAAGAAUUAUGCAGGAAGGUCUUCAUUGUGUGAUAUGAGUUAUAAGUUACGUUACGUCUUUGAUACGACAUAGAUAAUAUAGCCAUUUUCUAAUUAAGGUGAGCAACAUAUCUGUACCUAAAUGCCACAUUUGUUCGCAUUUCGAGAUACAAAUACUAAGAAUGUGUUAAACGAUCUAUAUCUAGGUUUCUUUAGUUAUAAGCACAUCAUCACAUUUCCUCUUUUUCUUUAAUUAAGGUGAGCUACCUCUCAGUGCUUAAACGUUGCACUUGUUCACCUAUCGAGAUACAAGUGAUGGAGUAAAAUACACUUGUUAGAUGUUUUUCGUUUACCGUUUAAAAUAGUCCUAUUGCCAAGAAACAACUACAUGUUAUAAUAAAGUGAACUUUAAGAUGAAAAACAGCAUAUGUAAGAAGCUCACUUAUAUGUUUGUUACAUAUCUAAUAUUUUUUCAUAAUUCAUUUGGGAUAUGUUUUUCGUUUUAAAGUUCAUUUUAUUAUAACGUGUAAUUGUUUCUUGGCAAUAGGGCUAUUAUGAUCAUUCGAGGCCAGAAAAAUAUUCAAAAAGGUAAAAAACAAUCGAUAUGAAAAAUAGUGAAUGUAAUUGUAAACAUAUUUAUUCAUUAAUUAAAAGUAUACAUAUAUGGACUAUUUGCAACAUUAUAAAUUUUGGUAAUUUAUAUAUUACAAUAUCCUUUACAAGUCAGAACCACUGAAUGCACGUACUAUGUGAUUAGAUACAUGAGAGAUGUAAU